Microcebus murinus (gray mouse lemur) is the source of this 1797-nucleotide non-coding RNA. The record is from RefSeq and is a predicted model, not a curated record. Lineage: Eukaryota; Metazoa; Chordata; Mammalia; Primates; Cheirogaleidae.
UUGCGGGUGGAGCAUACGCACUGGCCGCAGCGGAGACUUCCGAGCGGCCCACAGGAGACAAGCAGUGAGGGCAGGUUAGAACCCGGCUUCGAGGACCUUGAACACCGGACUUGGGCGGCUCCAGGUCCUUGGGAGCCGGGGGACAGCAAGGGCGCGGGAUCCGGGCUCAUAGCCCUCCCCGGGCAGUUUGGGUCGGACGCCUGGGUCCUCCAGGCCCCUCCCUCGGGGGGCGGGGCUCGGCGCUCGGACCAAUGACCGGCCGUCCCUGGGGCCCCGCCCCCGCCCCGCCCCCGGAGCCGCGGCCUCGCUGAGUGCCCAACCGCCCGGCGCCCAGGCCUGGGCAGCUCGAGCGCCGAACCUUCAGCUGGACACCAAGAUGCCUGGUGAACAGCAGGCAGAGGAGGAGGAGGAGGAAGAGAUGCAAGAGGAGAUGGUGCUGCUGGUGAAGGGUGAGGAGGAUGAGGGUGAGGAGAAGUAUGAGGUGGUGAAACUCAAGAUUCCCAUGGACAACAAGGAGGUCCCGAGCGAGACGCCGGCGCAGUCCGCCGACCCGGCGCGCCCCCACGCGUGCCCGGACUGCGGCCGCGCCUUCGCGCGCCGCUCCACGCUGGCCAAGCACGCACGCACGCACACGGGCGAACGGCCCUUCGCGUGCACCGAGUGCGGCCGGCGCUUCUCGCAGAAGUCGGCCCUGACCAAACACGGCCGCACGCACACGGGCGAGCGCCCCUACGAGUGCCCAGAGUGCGACAAGCGCUUCUCGGCUGCCUCGAACCUGCGGCAGCACCGGCGGCGCCACACUGGCGAGAAGCCGUACGCAUGCGCGCACUGCGGCCGCCGCUUCGCGCAGAGCUCCAACUACGCACAGCACCUGCGCGUGCACACGGGCGAGAAGCCAUACGCGUGCCCAGACUGCGGACGCGCCUUUGGAGGCAGUUCGUGCCUGGCGCGCCACCGCCGCACGCACACGGGCGAGCGGCCGUACGCAUGCGCCGACUGCGGCACGCGCUUCGCGCAGAGCUCGGCGCUGGCCAAACACCGGCGCGUGCACACGGGCGAGAAGCCGCACCGCUGCGCCGUGUGCGGCCGCCGCUUCGGUCACCGCUCCAACCUAGCGGAGCAUGCGCGUACGCACACGGGCGAGCGGCCGUACCCUUGCGCGGAGUGUGGCCGCCGCUUCCGCCUCAGUUCGCACUUCAUCCGCCACCGUCGCGCGCACAUGCGGCGCCGCCUUUAUAUCUGUGCGGGUUGUGGCCGGGACUUCAAGCUACCCGCAGGUGCCACAGCCGCCACUGCCACUGAGCGCUGCCCCGAGUGCGAGGGCAGCUGAGUCGCUGUUCUGUUGCGGCGGCGGGGCUGCGAGUGCCCGGCAGGGCUGGGGAGCGCUGGUACUUAGACCUGCCUGCAUAAAUCUGGACUCCUGCAGCACGGCACCGGGGCCUGGGAAAUGAAUGCAGUUCCACUGCCACUUUCCCUAAGAAGCCUUCCUUGAUUUCCUCCAGCAAGAAAUGUCUCCCACCUCUCAGCACUUCAUUUUCCCCUGUGAUCCCACCCACUCCUGGAGGACACAGACAUUAUCGGACGCUGAUAUAGCCCAAGGGCUGGGCUAAACGAAGGUUCUGGUAUUACUGACUAGAUGUGCACUGCUGCACCCAUUUUACAGAGGAGAUUAGAAGGCCGGAACCCGAGCCCCGCUGUUAGCCUUCUUCCCAACCACACGGAGGGCCCCUCCCCCGUCUGAGGGAAACAGCGGGAGAUCUCCCCACCCCAGGCUGGGCAAGGACUGCUUACAUAUCU